UGUUCUGUGGCUUAGUUGGUUAAAGCGCCGGUCUAGCGAAUACGGAGUCGUGGGUUCGAAUCACACCAGAACGC
Aedes albopictus (Asian tiger mosquito) is the source of this 74-nucleotide non-coding RNA. The record is from Rfam. Lineage: Eukaryota; Metazoa; Arthropoda; Insecta; Diptera; Culicidae.